RNAcentral lists this unclassified non-coding RNA (1222 nucleotides) under Athalia rosae (coleseed sawfly). RNAcentral describes it as "misc RNA ENSAEAG00005004113.1". Lineage: Eukaryota; Metazoa; Arthropoda; Insecta; Hymenoptera; Athaliidae. The record is from RNAcentral.
AUUUCAAUGAACGUUGUGCAAAGGUAUAUAAGGUGUGGUGUCUAUAUAUUUUGUGUGAUGGCGUGUGUUGAGUGUGGGCUCUACUUGCGGGAGGCUCAUCUGUGAAAUAACUAUAGUGCUGCGCUCUGCUUGUCUAGUUCAAGUGCUCUCUAAGUCUAGACUAGACUAAAAACUAAGCUAAAAUUAGACUCGCUAAAUAGGCUCAGUGGUGACGCAUAUAUGCCGACGGUCGUCAUCGUGACAACAGCCCACCAGAAAGCGUCCGGAAUGGACUUGAAGAAUGAAUUCUCGGAGCCUGCCUCAGCGAAGUAUACAGCCGACGAGAAUAGCACCACACCUGGAAUAGAAGGGAGAAAACCUCGUUCAGAAUUAUUAAGUCGUAGCGUGUACCUCAUGUCCCCGUAGCCAACGGUCGUCAUCGUGACAACAGCCCACCAGAACGCGUCCGGUAUCGAUUUGAAGAAACUCUCCUGCGAACCAGCUUCCGCGAAGUACACCACCGAACUGAACAGGAUUACCCCUGAAACACGGCCCCUUUUUUGCUUUUCUAUCUAUGUACUACUACUAACACCAUUACACCACAGCUCACCUACAAUAUUCAGUCGUGUAUUUAAUAAUUUUUCCUCUUUUCAUUCACAUUUAAUGUAUUCUAUCUUGUAUCAUUACACGUACAAUUGUAGCCCUUAUUUUUUUUUUUAAUUUCUUUAAUUUGGAAAUUUACACCUGGCGAGGUUGAUUCUGAGUCCAAGUCCUACCGUUUUGUAUCGGUAAAAUGCAUCAGAACCGAUCUUUCCAGGAGGGCAUUCAGAGUCAUUUCAUACCAAAUCAAUUGAUCUGUGCUUCCGACUAGAUUGAAAAAAAGAUGAAUUUAGAGCGAAACCAAAGUAAAGGGACCGUAGUCGUUCUUGUAUCUCAUUUCUUUGAUGUUGUUCUCUUUUUUAGCAAAGAGAUUUAAACAUACCUAUUUGUUGAGUUUUUUUGCAAGGAAUCUACAAUCUUCAAAAAGUCUGUUGCGUAUUAUUGUUUUACAAAAAAAUUCCAAAAAAACUGAUUCCAAUGGUUUUUGGAUUGUGGACUAUUGUACAUAAAUAAUAUGUAUAUAUUUUUUUUAUUCCGCUUGGGAUCACAGAUUAAUUGAACAGGCAUAAAAUACCGUACACGGAUAUGAAAAGAAGAAAAAAAAACCCAUUUCAAGUUUUUCCACAGCGGCCAUUUACGAUUU